GUGGGUAUAGCUCAGUGGUUGAGCACUUGAUUAGCAUGCACGAGGUCCUGGUUCAAUCCCCAGUACCUCCA
Molecule: transfer RNA, 71 nt
Filed under: Camelus ferus (Wild Bactrian camel)
Lineage: Eukaryota; Metazoa; Chordata; Mammalia; Artiodactyla; Camelidae
Rfam family: tRNA
About the family: Transfer RNA (tRNA) molecules are approximately 80 nucleotides in length.
Source: Rfam by way of RNAcentral